Molecule: ribosomal RNA, 486 nt
Filed under: uncultured Microbacteriaceae bacterium
Lineage: Bacteria; Bacillati; Actinomycetota; Actinomycetes; Micrococcales; Microbacteriaceae
Description: bacterial SSU rRNA
Rfam family: Bacterial small subunit ribosomal RNA
Source: RNAcentral
AGAGUUUGAUCCUGGCUCAGGACGAACGCUGGCAGCGUGCUUAACACAUGCAAGUCGAACGAUGAACUCCAGCUUGCUGGGGGGAUUAGUGGCGAACGGGUGAGUAACACGUGAGUAACCUGCCCUUGACUCUGGGAUAAGCGCUGGAAACGGCGUCUAAUACCGGAUACGAGCUUCAGCCGCAUGGCUAGGAGUUGGAAAGAAUUUUGGUCAAGGAUGGACUCGCGGCCUAUCAGCUAGUUGGUGAGGUAAUGGCUCACCAAGGCGACGACGGGUAGCCGGCCUGAGAGGGUGACCGGCCACACUGGGACUGAGACACGGCCCAGACUCCUACGGGAGGCAGCAGUGGGGAAUAUUGCACAAUGGGCGAAAGCCUGAUGCAGUAACGCCGCGUGAGGGACGACGGCCUUCGGGUUGUAAACCUCUUUUAGUAGGGAAGAAGCGAAAGUGACGGUACCUGCAGAAAAAGCACCGGCUAACUACGUG